GGAUAUGAGGGCGGGGAUCUGGCUGUGACAUCUGUCACCCCAUUGAUCAUCAGGGUUGAUUCAGCUGGGCUGCCUAGUGGAUGUCCCCUUUAUCCCUCAUUGCUCCAUGUGUGGCCCUCCCAAACCUGCUUUGGUCAAAGAGAAUGACCACCCCCAACCGAGGAGGACCAUCUUCUAAGUCAAGGGUAUAAAGUAGCUGUGCUCCCCUGCUAGAACCUCCAAAUAAGCUCUGAAGACAGUCUCCACUCCAAUGAAUGAUCUGUCCCCAAAACGUUAAUAGGGCCAAAGUUCAAUACCCUUCUGUGAAAAAAGAGACCUUAUUACAC
This is an unclassified non-coding RNA of Fukomys damarensis (Damara mole-rat), 326 nucleotides long. Its record names the gene 7SK. It matches the Rfam family "7SK RNA". From Rfam's summary of the family: 7SK was discovered as an abundant small nuclear RNA in the mid-70s but a possible function has only recently been suggested. The record is from Ensembl. NCBI's taxonomy places the organism in Eukaryota, Metazoa, Chordata, Mammalia, Rodentia, Bathyergidae.